AGCGAACGCUGGCGGCAGGCUUAACACAUGCAAGUCAAACGCCCCGCAAGGGGAGUGGCAGACGGGUGAGUAACACGUGGGAACGUACCCUUUGGUUCGGAAUAACUUGGGGAAACUCAAGCUAAUACCGGAUAAGCCCUUAUGGGGAAAGGUUUACUGCCGAAGGAUCGGCCCGCGCCUGAUUAGCUAGUUGGUGAGGUAAUGGCUCACCAAGGCGACGAUCAGUAGCUGGUCUGAGAGGAUGAUCAGCCACACUGGGACUGAGACACGGCCAGACUCCUACGGGAGGCAGCAGUGGGGAAUAUUGGACAAUGGGGGCAACCCUGAUCCAGCCAUGCCGCGUGAGUGAUGAAGGCCUUAGGGUUGUAAAGCUCUUUUUCCCGGGACGAUAAUGACUGUACCGGGAGAAUAAGCCCCGGCUAACUUCGUGCCAGCCGCCGCGGUAA
RNAcentral lists this ribosomal RNA (446 nucleotides) under uncultured bacterium. RNAcentral's name for it is "partial 16S ribosomal RNA". It matches the Rfam family "Bacterial small subunit ribosomal RNA", at positions 29 to 523 of the family's 1533-position model. The record is from RNAcentral.